GUCUUCGUAGUGUAGUGGUCAGCACGCUCGAAAUGUAACCAAGAGGUCCGUGGUUCGAUUCCCGGCGAGGGCA
This 73-nucleotide transfer RNA is filed under the name Stegodyphus mimosarum. It matches the Rfam family "tRNA". From Rfam's summary of the family: Transfer RNA (tRNA) molecules are approximately 80 nucleotides in length. Their secondary structure includes four short double-helical elements and three loops (D, anti-codon, and T loops). Lineage: Eukaryota; Metazoa; Arthropoda; Arachnida; Araneae; Eresidae. The record is from Rfam by way of RNAcentral.